Protopterus annectens (West African lungfish) is the source of this 1457-nucleotide long non-coding RNA. RefSeq lists it as uncharacterized. The transcript is spliced from 6 exons. The record is from RefSeq and is a predicted model, not a curated record. NCBI's taxonomy places the organism in Eukaryota, Metazoa, Chordata, Ceratodontiformes, Protopteridae.
UUCCUGGACAGGAAGGAGGAGUCAGCAUUAAGCUACACUCCAAACUACAUCUAACGAAAACAUUCUCCAUAGGUUUUCCUUAAGUACUUUCAUGUUGAACACCUUAAUCUUUUGGUUAAAGAGUCUGUGGACAGAAUUGUAUUGAUGCAAUCAUAUGUCAAAGGCUGGCUUGGUGCAAAAAGGUACCAGAAAGUGAAAGAAAAAGAGAAUAAAGUGCUACAAAAAUCCAAUCAGCCAGGACUCGGAAUUUCUGCUUGUCAGUCAAUGGAAAAAAAAGCGGAAGUCUUGAUUUUGCGGUGGCGCUCUUUUGUUUCUCACAAAACCUGCACAUUUGAAGAAGGAAGUAAAUUCCAGUGGGACCAGAUAACCUGCUGCACUCGGAGGCCAUGAGGAACAGUUAGAUCACCCAGAAAACUUGGCCUACCUUACAAGUGUCGAGACUGGAACCUGGAAAUGGCCUCAGGAUAAGGAAUUCUUUUUAAAGAUUCUUUGUAUUGCUCUCCGGCCUAGACACAUGUGGCUGAGAGUACUAACACCCCUUUGGAUGAAGAGAGGAUGAAUCAGCCUUUCCAAUCCGCAAUUUCACCAAAAUUCUUUGGAAGUUUCAGUAACCUAUGCUGCUGUUCAGUGAACUGCAAAAUACCGACUCCACUUUAAUGAAACUGCACUUAAACGAAAACACAGUAUGCUGAAUCUCACUUUGUUGAAGAAGGAUCGGCAGUGCCAUUUUUGUCGCAGAACAGAAGGAGUCAGUCAUUAUUAUGGAUCUGACGAGAAUGAAGAAUUUCCUGGUUUACCACAACCACAAUGGCUGGAAGAAUACCGCUUGUGAAUUUUGGAGUGGAGGGGAGCAAAACCAGUAUCGUCAAUGGCAGAAAAGGGACAGAAACAAUGCCAAUAGUGUGAAUGAUGGCCAAAGAAGGGACUGUAAGUAUGGACAACAUAAUGCACAGCAUUAUAAUAAAAGUUUUAAACAAUGAUGCUGUAAAGGUAUGUGCUGAACCAGAUAUGGUAGUUAAUUUGUCAAACUGUGAUUUAUCACAGGAACAAAUAACAGUUUUAAAUCGAGGUCUUACAUUUAUUCCAACUGUGAUUCCAAGGGCCCAUGUAGUAAAACAAGAAAUGUUUAGGUUUAUACAUAAGUUGUAUCUUAAAGAUUUCUUUUCUGUUAAAAUGAAUACUGUUAAGUUGAAUGUUGAUGAAACUAGUCACAUUGAUGAAAAGUCUGAUGAUAUUUUUUUAUUCAUGCUGUGAAGAAAUAGAGGAAAUGUUUGUGUUUCAUGAAAAUGUGAAUGCAUAUUGCAAAAUUGAUUUGUCCGAUAUUCCUGUGCUACAUAAAUUUAUUCCUCCUUUUGACAAUGAAUGUAUAGCACAUUUUAGUUCUAUUAUUGGAUUUGGGGGAGAGAAUAUUUGUGAAAAUGUUCUAAAAAAUAAAAGUAAUGUAAGUUAUAACUUGA